This 1330-nucleotide ribosomal RNA is filed under the name Nudora ilhabelae. RNAcentral describes it as "SSU rRNA". It matches the Rfam family "Eukaryotic small subunit ribosomal RNA", at positions 53 to 1417 of the family's 1831-position model. Lineage: Eukaryota; Metazoa; Nematoda; Chromadorea; Desmodorida; Monoposthiidae. The record is from RNAcentral.
GCAUGUAUAAGCUAAAGCUGGAAAAUAGUGAAGCCGCGGACAGCUCAUUAAUACACUCUUAAUCCUAGCAAUGCUUACCAUGAUGGAUAUCUGUGCUAAUUGUAGAGCUAAUACACGCAAAAAAGCCCGAGUUUCUUGGGAGCAUUUAUUAGAACAAUACCAAUCGGGCUCUGCCCGCUGUUGGUGAAUCUGAAUAACUGUGCAGAUCGCAGGGUCUUUGUACCGGCGACACAUUGCAGGAGUGAGUGCCUUAUCAACUUUCGAUGGUAGUUUAUAUGCCUACCAUGGUUAUUACGGGUAACGGAGAAUUAGGGUUCGACUCCGGAGAGGGAGCCUGAGAGACGGCUGCCAGUCCUAAGGGACGCAGCAGGCGCGCAAAUUACACAAUGACAGCAAACUGUUGAUGUAGUGACAAGAGAUAUCGAGGCGGUUCUCUAUGAGGCCCGUCAUCGGAAUGAGUACAAUUUAAACUCUUUAACGAGGAUCAAGUGGAGGGCAAGUCUGGUGCCAGCAGCCGCGGUAAUUCCAGCUCCAUGAGUGUAUAUUAAAGUUGUUGCGGUUAAAAAGCUCGUAGUUGGAUCUGCGACCUUAGAGAGCGGUCCCCCACAGGGUGCGUACUGCUGCUCAGGGUCUUGAUUGUCAGUUUGUCUGUGGUGCCUUUAAACGGGUGUCACAGGUGGCUGACGCGUUUACUUUGAAAAAAUUCGAGUGCUCAAAGCAGGCGCUAUCGCCUGAAGAGUGGUGCAUGGAAUAAUGGAAUAGGAUCUCGGUUCUAUUUCGUUGGUUUCGGAGCGCGAGAUAAUGAUUAAGAGGGACAGACGGGGGCAUUUGUAUUGCUGCGUUAGAGGUGAAAUUCUUGGAUCGCAGCAAGACAAACAACUGCGAAGGCAUUUGCCAAGAAUGUUUUCAUUAAUCAAGAACGAAAGUUAGAGGUUCGAAGGCGAUCAGAUACCGCCCUAGUUCUAACCGUAAACGAUGUCAACUAGCGAUUUGCCAGCGUUAAUGAUGACCUGGCAAGCAGCUUUCCGGAAACGAAAGUGUCUAGAUUCCGGGGGAAGUAUGGUUGCAAAGCUGAAACUUAAAGGAAUUGACGGAAGGGCACCACCAGGAGUGGAGCCUGCGGCUUAAUUUGACUCAACACGGGAAAACUCACCCGGCCCGGACACCGUAAGGAUUGACAGAUUGAAAGCUCUUUCUUGAUUUGGUGGUUGGUGGUGCAUGGCCGUUCUUAGUUGGUGGAGCGAUUUGUCUGGUUAAUUCCGAUAACGAACGAGACUCUGACUUAUUAACUAGUGUGCCAAUCUAACAGAUCGGUACUACUUCUUAGAGG